This 253-nucleotide ribosomal RNA is filed under the name uncultured bacterium. Its description in RNAcentral is "partial 16S ribosomal RNA". It matches the Rfam family "Bacterial small subunit ribosomal RNA", at positions 524 to 776 of the family's 1533-position model. The record is from RNAcentral.
GACGUAGGGGGCGAGCGUUGUCCGGAAUCAUUGGGCGUAAAGAGCGCGUAGGCGGCGCGACAAGUCACUUGUGAAAUCUCCGGGCUUAACUCGGAACGGUCAAGUGAAACUGUCAUGCUAGAGUGCAGAAGGGGCAAUCGGAAUUCUUGGUGUAGCGGUGAAAUGCGUAGAUAUCAAGAGGAACACCUGAGGUGAAGACGGGUUGCUGGGCUGACACUGACGCUGAGGCGCGAAAGCCAGGGGAGCAAACGGG